Molecule: long non-coding RNA, 1205 nt
Filed under: Ananas comosus (pineapple)
Lineage: Eukaryota; Viridiplantae; Streptophyta; Magnoliopsida; Poales; Bromeliaceae
Description: long non-coding RNA (ACOM_LNC003606)
Source: RNAcentral
GAAUUUCUCCUUGAUCAUGGCCACGUCAAUGCUGUACGGAUCCCCCCACACCUAUCAUUUCUUUUCCCUCAUUGACUCCAAAUCCAUCACACUUCACCUUGCCACGUUCCGCAAUCCUUAAAACUAUAAUUUCAAUCCAUACACAAUUUAAAAAAAUAAAAAAAAUGAUUAAGAAAAGUAUAAAAAUUGAACCCUUCAUUUGCACUAAGAAAAAACAAAAAGAAAAAAAAUGCGAUAAAAAUGAGUAUGAAGAGAUCUUAUUUUACUCUUCUUUUUAAAAAGAGAUUUGUUUAGAUGAAAAUGGAUCAUGUGAAUACAUUAUUAGAAAAUGGGCGGAUGGAAAGACGAAGUAUCGAAUAGAGAUGAGGUGGGAAGGCGAAGCAUUAAGGAGUGAGAAGGGAGGGAGGUGAAGGAGGAAUUGCCACGUGACAAUCUCCAUAAAAAAUAAUGUAUACUAGUGUAGGAAUCUGUGCGAUAAAUUAAAUAUACAAAUAAAAAUAUAAAAAUAUAGUAAAAAAUAAUUAAUAUUUGAUUGGUUAAUAAUAUAAAAACUAUAUUAAAAAAUUUUUUAGAAUGAAAAUAUAAUCCAAUGGAGAACAAAGAAAGAAAACAAAAAAUAAACAAUAAGAGAAUAAAAAUUGUUGAUAGGAAUUAAAAAACCAUAAUUGAAUGCAAGAAUAAAAGAGAAGAGAAAAAAUAAAAAUGUGAUUUCGUUGGGGUUGGUUUUAUUACUUGACGAAUUAACGUAAAAAAUAUUUGAAAGAAAAUUAGCCCCACCUUAAUUAAAAGAGAAAGAACAUGGGCUCCACAAAAGAGGAGGGGAACAGUCCGAAUAAAAAAAAGAUAACAUAAGAAAUAUUUGGAAGGAAGCGGUUCCAUCUUAAUUAAGAAGAGAGAAAAUGGACUCCAUGCCUCCACUAACAUUCUAAUUAAGAAGAGAGAGAAUGUGAACUCCAUCCUAAUUAAGAAGAGAGAAUAUGAGCUCCAUGCCUCCACUAACAUCCUAAUUAAGAAGAGACACUACAACAGAAUUAGGUUAUAGGGACACAUGUUUGGAACACUUUUGAGUAAGUGUCCCAUUUAUCCUAAAACGUAAAAAAACAUCUACUAAUGCCUAUAUAUAAAGUCCAAUCCAACCAAAAAUAAAAGAUUACUCUACUCAACCCACCACACCCAGUCCAUUUGGCCCGAUUACAAACAGAAAA